RNAcentral lists this transfer RNA (76 nucleotides) under Desulfitobacterium dehalogenans. RNAcentral's name for it is "tRNA-Phe". It matches the Rfam family "tRNA". Rfam says of the family: Transfer RNA (tRNA) molecules are approximately 80 nucleotides in length. Their secondary structure includes four short double-helical elements and three loops (D, anti-codon, and T loops). RNAcentral also lists the same sequence under 4 other names. The record is from RNAcentral. Lineage: Bacteria; Bacillati; Bacillota; Clostridia; Eubacteriales; Desulfitobacteriaceae.
GCCUCGGUAGCUCAGUCGGUAGAGCAGAGGACUGAAAAUCCUCGUGUCGACGGUUCGAUUCCGCCCUGAGGCACCA